Molecule: ribosomal RNA, 347 nt
Filed under: Clostridioides difficile
Lineage: Bacteria; Bacillati; Bacillota; Clostridia; Peptostreptococcales; Peptostreptococcaceae
Description: partial 23S ribosomal RNA
Rfam family: Bacterial large subunit ribosomal RNA
Source: RNAcentral
UGUUCGCCCAUUAAAGUGGUACGCGAGCUGGGUUCAGAACGUCGUGAGACAGUUCGGUCCCUAUCCGUCGCAGGCGUAGGAAAUUUGAGAAGACCUGUCCUUAGUACGAGAGGACCGGGAUGGACGUGCCUCUGGUGUACCAGUUGUUCUGCCAAGGGCAUGGCUGGGUAGCUAUGUACGGAAUGGAUAAGCGCUGAAAGCAUCUAAGCGCGAAGCCAACUUCAAGAUAAGAUUUCCCACCGCAAGGGUAAGACCCCAGAAAGACUAUCUGGUUGAUAGGUCGAAGGUGUAAGUGCAGCAAUGUAUUUAGCUUAUCGAUACUAAUAGGUCGAGGACUUGACCAAAUU